This 457-nucleotide long non-coding RNA is filed under the name Homo sapiens (human). Its description in RNAcentral is "HSALNT0408142". The record is from RNAcentral. Lineage: Eukaryota; Metazoa; Chordata; Mammalia; Primates; Hominidae.
GGGGCGACAAUGGAGGGAAAUCCAUGGAUAUCCACGCAGCAGCCCCUCUUUAACCUCAUCUACAAGCAUUUGCCCUGUGGAUUCCAGCAUUUGCUAUUCCUGGAAUCAAGGAAUCCCAAGUCUGGGCAAUGAAACCAAAGCCAGGAGUUGAUGAAUUCUGCAGUCGGGCCAGCUGUCGCACCUCAGCGGGGUGCACAUGUUAUCCACCAGCAAUGGACCUUUGGGGAGGGGGGAGUUUUUAGUUUGUUUUACAAAUUUUUCCUGCAAAAGUGGAAACACUGUAUUUUCAUUUUAAUUUAUAUUUGAAAUUUUAUUUAGUUCUUGAAGUAGAUCUGCUUCUUCAUCUUGACGUGUAAUGGUCAGUUGUACGUAAUGUACAAUACAUAACUAGUUUAAUUAACUAUGUGAUGUUAACUAUUAUUAAUAAAUUUUAACAUUUUCCAAAAUAAAUAAAAAA